RNAcentral lists this ribosomal RNA (404 nucleotides) under uncultured prokaryote. RNAcentral's name for it is "bacterial SSU rRNA". It matches the Rfam family "Bacterial small subunit ribosomal RNA", at positions 355 to 774 of the family's 1533-position model. The record is from RNAcentral.
UGGGGAAUAUUGGGCAAUGGGCGCAAGCCUGACCCAGCAACGCCGCGUGAGGGAAGAAGGUCUUCGGAUUGUAAACCUCUGUCCUUGGUGAAAAGUAAGAGAUGGUAGCCAAGGAGGAAGCUCCGGCUAACUACGUGCCAGCAGCCGCGGUAAUACGUAGGGAGCGAGCGUUGUCCGGAAUGAUUGGGCGGAAAGGGCGUGUAGGCGGCCGUUUAAGUCUGGAGUGAAAUUCCUGUGUUUAAGGUAGGAACUGCUUUGGAAACUGGACGGCUUGAGUGCAGGAGAGGUUAUCGGAAUUCCCGGUGUAGCGGUGAAAUGCGUAGAGAUCGGGAGGAACACCAGUGGCGAAGGCGGGUAACUGGACUGCAACUGACGCUGAGGCGCGAAAGUGUGGGGAGCAAACA